Molecule: ribosomal RNA, 309 nt
Filed under: uncultured bacterium
Lineage: Bacteria
Description: partial 16S ribosomal RNA
Rfam family: Bacterial small subunit ribosomal RNA
Source: RNAcentral
AGAGACAGCAGCAGCCACGGUAAUACGGAGGGUGCAAGCGUUAAUCGGAAUUACUGGGCGUAAAGCGCACGCAGGCGGUCUGUCAAGUCAGAUGUGAAAUCCCCGGGCUUAACCUGGGAACUGCAUUUGAAACUGGCAGGCUAGAGUCUUGUAGAGGGGGGUAGAAUUCCAGGUGUAGCGGUGAAAUGCGUAGAGAUCUGGAGGAAUACCGGUGGCGAAGGCGGCCCCCUGGACAAAGACUGACGCUCAGGUGCGAAAGCGUGGGGAGCAAACAGGAUUAGAUACCCCUGUAGUCCCUGUCUCUUAUAC